Molecule: ribosomal RNA, 445 nt
Filed under: uncultured bacterium
Lineage: Bacteria
Description: partial 16S ribosomal RNA
Rfam family: Bacterial small subunit ribosomal RNA
Source: RNAcentral
GUAGGGAAUAUUGGACAAUGGGCGAAAGCCUGAUCCAGCCAUGCCGCGUGAUAGAUGAAGGCCCUCUGGGUUGUAAAUAUCUUUUAUCUGGGAAGAAACUCCUCUAUUCUUAGAGGCCUGACGGUACCAGAGGAAUAAGCACCGGCUAACUCCGUGCCAGCAGCCGCGGUAAUACGGAGGGUGCAAGCGUUAUCCGGAUUCACUGGGUUUAAAGGGUGCGUAGGCGGGUUGAUAAGUCAGUGGUGAAAGCUCCGGGCUUAACUUGGAAACUGCCAUUGAUACUGUCAAUCUUGAAUGUCGUAGAGGUAAGCGGAAUGUUGCAUGUAGCGGUGAAAUGCUUAGAUAUGUUACAGAACACCAAUUGCGAAGGCAGCUUACUAUGCGAUAAUUGACGCUGAGGCACGAAAGCGUGGGGAGCAAACAGGAUUAGAUACCCGUGUAGUCC